Long non-coding RNA from Malus domestica (apple), 1925 nucleotides. RefSeq lists it as uncharacterized. The record is from RefSeq and is a predicted model, not a curated record. NCBI's taxonomy places the organism in Eukaryota, Viridiplantae, Streptophyta, Magnoliopsida, Rosales, Rosaceae.
GGCUGUGACAGGUAGAGCAGCGACGGCAAGGCAGCGAGUGUGCAGCUUGCAGUGCACUGGUUGCUGCAGUAGCAGAUGUCGCUGUUCACAGUAUAGCAGCGAAAGAGUGAAGGCAGAGCAGAGCAAAGGAUUACCUGCGCUCUGAUACCAUGUUGAGUUUGAUAUUUCUGUAUGUCCAUACUGCUGCAAUGGCAGCAUUGCUUUAUACAUUGGAUACGUACACGCAUGCAUUAAACUAAGUAUAAAUGAAGGUGGAGUCCUCUCUGCCCAUAGUGCAGAAACUGCCCAUAAAGCACAAACACAGAUGCACAGCCCACGUGGGCAGUUUAGCUGUCAAGGCAUGGGUUGAAACCAUGUGCAAUAUUCCUCUGACAGGUUUGCUCUUUAACAUCACCUUCAAGCAUCUCCACAACUUUUCUCAUAGAAGGGCGAUCUGCCGGCUUCAAUUGUACGCACCACAGUGCAACCAUGAUCAUCUUCUUUGCUACUUUCUUAUCAUUUUCACAGGCAUUCUCAAUUUCAAUGCUCAAUCCUUUUUCUAGUUGAUCAUAAAUCCAAAAGGGAAGUACAUAUAUUUGGCUUGUAUUUUCUGCAUGAGCAUGCAUUCAAGUUCUUUUUGCCUCCUCUCAUUUCCAAUAACAACAUCCCAAAGCUAUGUAUCCCAUUGUGCUCCUUGCAGCAGUAACAGAAAUGGUGGUGUGAUCUUUGGGGUAAAAUCUGCAUAUCACAGCACUGAUGUAGAUAUGCUUGAGGAAUGCCGGUUGAAAAAACUAAAUUCCAUAUGUUGAUUAGGUCAAUGCUUUGGUAAAUAAUUAGAUGUACCCUUUUCUUGGGCUGGAAACUGAUUAACUAUAGUUUACUAAACAUUUUUGAAAAUUUCUUACAUAAAAUUACUCUCUCUAUUCUAAUUACUCGAAUUUAAUCGUUCCCUUGGUUAUCAAGAGCCACGGGCUAAGAGUUAUGACAUGCCAUUUUCCUAAUCUGAGUUAUGACAUGCCAUUUUCCUUUUAAAAGAUAUUUAUAUGGAUGUUCAAAACGUAUAUUUAGCUGUGCCGGAAAAGACUAGUUUCCCUUUUUUUCUUUAUGGAAAUCCAAGUACUUAAGAUUUUGAUGGAGCAAUUGUCGAUUAUAUUAUCUUCAGAAUGCAAAACUAGGUUUCAUGCAUCUCUAAGCUAUCUGUAUUUUUGGAUCCUGUUGAACCCUUUCAGAUUGCAAAAGUAAUGAUUACAACCGGAAAGCUUCUGUCUGAAAGUUCAACAUCGACAGUCACUGAUGAACUAAAGAAGGAAAGCAGGAUGCUGAAGGUGGACAAUGUUACUGCACUUGUUGCAAGUAACAAGGGAGGCAUUUAUUCUAUGUUCAAUUGUGGAUUAAUGUCGUUGCCAACUGCAGUUUGGAGAUCUUCAGCUCGAGCUAACAUCAGAUAAACCCAGCAUAGGGGCCGUAAUCAGCUUUGCUUUUUGGUAAAUAUACUUGCCUGUAACAACCUUACUUCUCUUUCGUGGGAGCUAGCUCAGGGCAUCCAAAACAUCCCGGAGAGUUCAUUGCAGUAUGCAAAUGACAAUGCUUUGAUGCUGGCUAAGUCUUUGAGGGGCGCUCUGCUUGCUGUCUGCUAUUCAUCAGCGUUAUUGUCUGCUUUUACUACCGUCGGACUUUCUCUUACCCGGAAGACAACUAAAGUCACCAAACGAGAAGUGAGCUUCCUGAGUGUUCUGUCUCCCUCGGUUUUGCCUUUACCUCUCUCUGUAUAUGCUGAAGUCGAUCAAUGUAUUUUAUAAUAGAAUUGCCCGAUAUAAGUGGAAUUUAAAUGUUGCUCAAUAACAAUCUCAAGAAGUGCAUAAGAAGAUUUUUUGUUAACAAAACAACUGUAUCAUGUAAUUAACUCAGAAUAAUGUACAAGGUUGAGAUCUCUUCUUUUGUGUUAA